Long non-coding RNA from Amphimedon queenslandica, 522 nucleotides. RefSeq lists it as uncharacterized. The record is from RefSeq and is a predicted model, not a curated record. NCBI's taxonomy places the organism in Eukaryota, Metazoa, Porifera, Demospongiae, Haplosclerida, Niphatidae. The transcript has 3 exons.
CCGUAGAUCGGGAAAUUUUCGUUGUUAAAAUAUUUUCGCGGAUGAAGUGACCCGCGAAAAUUUGACACACGAAAUAUUUUCUACAGUGAAUAAUAAGAUUACCGGAAUUAUUCUAACGUGCAGCGGUGCACCCCCACGAGGCUCUUCUAGUCUUCUAAAAGCCCAAAGAAGGCCUGAAGCUCUCACCCAAGAGGCUCCUUGUCAGUUUUAGUACUGUCACGAGCAACUUCCAUUGAAUAGCUGUCCAUCGUCAUCAAGAUUCUAAGUUAAUGCCAGUGAUACACUACAGAGUAUCUUGUCAGCAAUUUAUUGAAUACUAAGGAAUAUAUAUUUAGCUCCUUGAUUGCUAUAGCAGCACAUUAUCCCACCCUCAUAUCUGUGUGGUUUUAUGAUGUUUUUUCUGUUAUUAUUUUAUUAUUAUUCAUUAUUAUUAAUUAAUUGAUCAUUUUUGUAUAAAAGGAGACAUUUUUGUUAGGCUUAAGAGUGCGUGUGAGCGGGAGCGAGUGAAUGAGAGUGUUAAGG